This 253-nucleotide ribosomal RNA is filed under the name uncultured bacterium. RNAcentral describes it as "partial 16S ribosomal RNA". It matches the Rfam family "Bacterial small subunit ribosomal RNA", at positions 524 to 776 of the family's 1533-position model. The record is from RNAcentral.
GACGUAGGGCGCGAGCGUUGUCCGGAUUUAUUGGGCGUAAAGAGCUCGUAGGCGGCUUGUCGCGUCGUCCGUGAAAACUUGGGGCUCAACCCCAAGCUUGCGGUCGAUACAGGCAGGCUGGAGUUCGGUAGGGGAGACUGGAAUUCCUGGUGUAGCGGUGAAAUGCGCAGAUAUCAGGAGGAACACCGGUGGCGAAGGCGGGUCUCUGGGCCGAUACUGACGCUGAGGAGCGAAAGCGUGGGGAGCGAACGGG